GUAAGUGACUGUACUUCAAUUAAAUUAAUUAAAAAAGAAAAAAGAUUGGCUUGGUCCCUGAGCAAUGAUGACACACAAAUUUGUGAAGCGUGUCAUAUUUAA
Molecule: small nuclear RNA, 102 nt
Filed under: Vicugna pacos (alpaca)
Lineage: Eukaryota; Metazoa; Chordata; Mammalia; Artiodactyla; Camelidae
Source: RNAcentral